GAUGAACGCUAGCGACAGGCUUAACACAUGCAAGUCGAGGGGCAGCGGGAGGUAGCAAUACCUUGCCGGCGACCGGCGCACGGGUGCGUAACGCGUAUGCAACCUACCCACCAGUCAGGGAUAACCCGGCGAAAGUCGGACUAAUACCUGAUGAAGCAGGGGCCCCGCAUGGGGAUAUUUGCUAAAGAUUCAUCGCUGAUGGAUGGGCAUGCGUUCCAUUAGGUAGUUGGCGGGGCAACGGCCCACCAAGCCUUCGAUGGAUAGGGGUUCUGAGAGGAAGGCCCCCCACACUGGUACUGAGACACGGACCAGACUCCUACGGGAGGCAGCAGUGAGGAAUAUUGGUCAAUGGGCGAUAGCCUGAACCAGCCAAGUCGCGUGGAGGACGACUGCCCUACGGGUUGUAAACUCCUUUUGCGGGGGAAUAAAGUGAAGGACGCGUCCUUUUUUGCAUGUACCCUGCGAAUAAGCAUCGGCUAACUCCGUGCCAGCCGCCGCCGU
This 501-nucleotide ribosomal RNA is filed under the name uncultured bacterium. RNAcentral's name for it is "bacterial SSU rRNA". It matches the Rfam family "Bacterial small subunit ribosomal RNA", at positions 28 to 521 of the family's 1533-position model. The record is from RNAcentral.